AGCAUAUCAAUAAGCGGAGGAAAAGAAACCAACAGGGAUUGCCUUAGUAACGGCGAGUGAAGCGGCAACAGCUCAAAUUUGAAAGCUGGCCCUUUUAGGGUCCGCAUUGUAAUUUGUAGAGGAUGAUUCGGCGAGGGCUCCUGCCUAAGUCCCCUGGAACGGGGCGUCAUAGAGGGUGAGAAUCCCGUAUGCGGUAGGUUGCCUUAGCCAUGUGAAUCUCCUUCGACGAGUCGAGUUGUUUGGGAAUGCAGCUCUAAAUGGGAGGUAAAUUUCUUCUAAAGCUAAAUACCGGCCAGAGACCGAUAGCGCACAAGUAGAGUGAUCGAAAGAUGAAAAGCACUUUGGAAAGAGAGUUAAAAAGUACGUGAAAUUGUUGAAAGGGAAGCGCUUGCAACCAGACUUGUCCGCAGUUGCUCAGCCGGUCUCCUGACCGGCGUACUCUUCUGCGGCCAGGCCAGCAUCAGUUCGGGCGGUCGGAUAAAGGCCUCGGGAAUGUAGCUCCUCUCGGGGAGUGUUAUAGCCCGGGGUGGAAUGCGGCCAGCCUGGACUGAGGAACUCGCUUCGGCAAGGAUGCUGGCGUAAUGGUUGUAAGCGGCCCGUCUUGAAACACGGACCAAGGAGUCUAACAUCUAUGCGAGUGUUCGGGUGUCAAACCCGUACGCGUAAUGAAAGUGAACGGAGGUGGGAACCCGCAAGGGUGCACCAUCGGCCGAUCCUGAUGUCUUCGGAUGGAUUUGAGCAAGAGCAUAGCUGUUGGGACCCGAAAGAUGGUGAACUAUGCCUGAAUAGGGUGAAGCCAGAGGAAACUCUGGUGGAGGCUCGCAGCGGUUCUGACGUGCAAAUCGAUCGUCAAAUUUGGGUAUAGGGGCGAAAGACUAAUCGAACCAUC
This 889-nucleotide ribosomal RNA is filed under the name Lasiodiplodia parva. RNAcentral describes it as "eukaryotic LSU rRNA". It matches the Rfam family "Eukaryotic large subunit ribosomal RNA", at positions 37 to 944 of the family's 3401-position model. The record is from RNAcentral. Lineage: Eukaryota; Fungi; Ascomycota; Dothideomycetes; Botryosphaeriales; Botryosphaeriaceae.